GCCAGCACAGCUAGUAGUAAAGGCUUCUGGGAGUUGUAGUCUAAGAACAUCUGGGGACCCAAGGUUGGGAACCACUGACCCACUUCCUUUUGUACUGCUUUAUUUUCCAGAGAGAUCCUGCAACCUCCACAGCUACCUCUGCCACGUGGUGAAGGACUUGGAGGCUCAGCUCCGGCGCCUGGAUUGGGACACCCUUCCUCGCCCCUACGACCAUCUGCAUGCUGCGGAUCAGUUGCACAAACUCUGGCAGAACCUGGAACAGCAACAGCAACGACAGCAACCAUCACCUCAUCCCAGCGCAGAGGAGACGUGGCCCCAUCGCUGCUGCUGCUGCUGUUUCCGCCCGCCCAGGGCCAGCCCCCAGCAGAGAAGCCUCGCCGUCGAAGGUCCAGCCCAGGGGCCCCCACCGCCUCUCUUCUGCCGCCCCCUCCCCAGGAGGUUCGGCAUCAUCUGCUGGGCUGUCUUAGGGACCCUCAGCCUCAUCGCUGGCUUCUUCACUCUGCUGUACAGCCUCCGAAUGGAUCGGAACCAGGCUGGGCACUGGGCUGUCACCAUCCUGUUGUCCACACUGCAAAACGUCUUCCUCAUGCAGCCCCUGAAGGUGGGCCGAGGCUCCGCAUUCCCCCCCCGCCCGCCGCCCAUAGGUCCCAAGCAGAGCGAGGGUG
Molecule: long non-coding RNA, 665 nt
Filed under: Pogona vitticeps (central bearded dragon)
Lineage: Eukaryota; Metazoa; Chordata; Lepidosauria; Squamata; Agamidae
Description: lncRNA (ENSPVIG00000011325.1)
Source: RNAcentral